GAAACAUCUUCGGGUUGUGAGGUUAAGCGACUAAGCGUACACGGUGGAUGCCCUGGCAGUCAGAGGCGAUGAAGGACGUGCUAAUCUGCGAUAAGCGUCGGUGAGGUGAUAUGAACCGUUAUAACCGGCGAUUUCCGAAUGGGGAAACCCAGUGUGUUUCGACACACUAUCAUUAACUGAAUCCAUAGGUUAAUGAGGCGAACCGGGGGAACUGAAACAUCUAAGUACCCCGAGGAAAAGAAAUCAACCGAGAUUCCCCCAGUAGCGGCGAGCGAACGGGGAGGAGCCCAGAGCCUGAAUCAGUGUGUGUGUUAGUGGAAGCGUCUGGAAAGGCGCGCGAUACAGGGUGACAGCCCCGUACACAAAAAUGCACAUGCUGUGAGCUCGAUGAGUAGGGCGGGACACGUGGUAUCCUGUCUGAAUAUGGGGGGACCAUCCUCCAAGGCUAAAUACUCCUGACUGACCGAUAGUGAACCAGUACCGUGAGGGAAAGGCGAAAAGAACCCCGGCGAGGGGAGUGAAAAAGAACCUGAAACCGUGUACGUACAAGCAGUGGGAGCCUCUUAAUGGGGUGACUGCGUACCUUUUGUAUAAUGGGUCAGCGACUUAUAUUCUGUAGCAAGGUUAACCGAAUAGGGGAGCCGAAGGGAAACCGAGUCUUAACUGGGCGUUAAGUUGCAGGGUAUAGACCCGAAACCCGGUGAUCUAGCCAUGGGCAGGUUGAAGGUUGGGUAACACUAACUGGAGGACCGAACCGACUAAUGUUGAAAAAUUAGCGGAUGACUUGUGGCUGGGGGUGAAAGGCCAAUCAAACCGGGAGAUAGCUGGUUCUCCCCGAAAGCUAUUUAGGUAGCGCCUCGUGAAUUCAUCUCCGGGGGUAGAGCACUGUUUCGGCAAGGGGGUCAUCCCGACUUACCAACCCGAUGCAAACUGCGAAUACCGGAGAAUGUUAUCACGGGAGACACACGGCGGGUGCUAACGUCCGUCGUGAAGAGGGAAACAACCCAGACCGCCAGCUAAGGUCCCAAAGUCAUGGUUAAGUGGGAAACGAUGUGGGAAGGCCCAGACAGCCAGGAUGUUGGCUUAGAAGCAGCCAUCAUUUAAAGAAAGCGUAAUAGCUCACUGGUCGAGUCGGCCUGCGCGGAAGAUGUAACGGGGCUAAACCAUGCACCGAAGCUGCGGCAGCGACACUAUGUGUUGUUGGGUAGGGGAGCGUUCUGUAAGCCUGUGAAGGUGGCCUGUGAGGGUUGCUGGAGGUAUCAGAAGUGCGAAUGCUGACAUAAGUAACGAUAAAGCGGGUGAAAAGCCCGCUCGCCGGAAGACCAAGGGUUCCUGUCCAACGUUAAUCGGGGCAGGGUGAGUCGACCCCUAAGGCGAGGCCGAAAGGCGUAGUCGAUGGGAAACAGGUUAAUAUUCCUGUACUUGGUGUUACUGCGAAGGGGGGACGGAGAAGGCUAUGUUGGCCGGGCGACGGUUGUCCCGGUUUAAGCGUGUAGGCUGGUUUUCCAGGCAAAUCCGGAAAACCAAGGCUGAGGCGUGAUGACGAGGCACUACGGUGCUGAAGUGACAAAUGCCCUGCUUCCAGGAAAAGCCUCUAAGCAUCAGGUAACAUCAAAUCGUACCCCAAACCGACACAGGUGGUCAGGUAGAGAAUACCAAGGCGCUUGAGAGAACUCGGGUGAAGGAACUAGGCAAAAUGGUGCCGUAACUUCGGGAGAAGGCACGCUGAUAUGUAGGUGAAGCGACUUGCUCGUGGAGCUGAAAUCAGUCGAAGAUACCAGCUGGCUGCAACUGUUUAUUAAAAACACAGCACUGUGCAAACACGAAAGUGGACGUAUACGGUGUGACGCCUGCCCGGUGCCGGAAGGUUAAUUGAUGGGGUUAGCGGUAACGCGAAGCUCUUGAUCGAAGCCCCGGUAAACGGCGGCCGUAACUAUAACGGUCCUAAGGUAGCGAAAUUCCUUGUCGGGUAAGUUCCGACCUGCACGAAUGGCGUAAUGAUGGCCAGGCUGUCUCCACCCGAGACUCAGUGAAAUUGAACUCGCUGUGAAGAUGCAGUGUACCCGCGGCAAGACGGAAAGACCCCGUGAACCUUUACUAUAGCUUGACACUGAACAUUGAGCCUUGAUGUGUAGGAUAGGUGGGAGGCUUUGAAGUGUGGACGCCAGUCUGCAUGGAGCCGACCUUGAAAUACCACCCUUUAAUGUUUGAUGUUCUAACGUUGGCCCCUAAUCGGGGUUGCGGACAGUGUCUGGUGGGUAGUUUGACUGGGGCGGUCUCCUCCUAAAGAGUAACGGAGGAGCACGAAGGUUGGCUAAUCCUGGUCGGACAUCAGGAGGUUAGUGCAAUGGCAUAAGCCAGCUUGACUGCGAGCGUGACGGCGCGAGCAGGUGCGAAAGCAGGUCAUAGUGAUCCGGUGGUUCUGAAUGGAAGGGCCAUCGCUCAACGGAUAAAAGGUACUCCGGGGAUAACAGGCUGAUACCGCCCAAGAGUUCAUAUCGACGGCGGUGUUUGGCACCUCGAUGUCGGCUCAUCACAUCCUGGGGCUGAAGUAGGUCCCAAGGGUAUGGCUGUUCGCCAUUUAAAGUGGUACGCGAGCUGGGUUUAGAACGUCGUGAGACAGUUCGGUCCCUAUCUGCCGUGGGCGCUGGAGAACUGAGGGGGGCUGCUCCUAGUACGAGAGGACCGGAGUGGACGUAUCACUGGUGUUCGGGUUGUCAUGCCAAUGGCACUGCCCGGUAGCUAAAUGCGGAAGAGAUAAGUGCUGAAAGCAUCUAAGCACGAAACUUGCCCCGAGAUGAGUUCUCCCUGAGACUUAGAGUCUCCUGAAGGAACGUUGAAGACGACGACGUUGAUAGGCCGGGUGUGUAAGCGCAGCGAUGCGUUGAGCUAACCGGUACUAAUGAACCGUGAGGCUUAACCUU
Molecule: ribosomal RNA, 2924 nt
Filed under: Escherichia coli F11
Lineage: Bacteria; Pseudomonadati; Pseudomonadota; Gammaproteobacteria; Enterobacterales; Enterobacteriaceae
Description: bacterial LSU rRNA
Rfam family: Bacterial large subunit ribosomal RNA
Source: RNAcentral